Molecule: non-coding RNA, 132 nt
Organism: Brassica napus (rape)
Lineage: Eukaryota; Viridiplantae; Streptophyta; Magnoliopsida; Brassicales; Brassicaceae
Source: Rfam
AGGCAGCCUACUUGUUAAAAAAAACAAUGACAUGAGAGGUGUUUAACUGCUCCUAGAUAAAAACUAUGCUUCUGCUCUUCAGACUUGCUGAGAUUUUGUCUUUGAAGCUGGUCUAGUAGUCUUAAGCACAUU